UACAGAGGGUGCAAGCGUUAAUCGGAAUUACUGGGCGUAAAGCGUGCGUAGGUGGUUCUUUAAGUCAGGUGUGAAAUCCCCGGGCUCAACCUGGGAACUGCAUUUGAUACUGAAGAGCUAGAGUGUGGUAGAGGAUAGUGGAAUUCCCGGUGUAGCGGUGAAAUGCGUAGAUAUCGGGAGGAACAUCAGUGGCGAAGGCGCUCAUCUGGCCCAAUACUGACGCUGAGGCGCGAAAGCUAGGGGAGCAAACGGG
Molecule: ribosomal RNA, 253 nt
Filed under: uncultured bacterium
Lineage: Bacteria
Description: partial 16S ribosomal RNA
Rfam family: Bacterial small subunit ribosomal RNA
Source: RNAcentral